RNAcentral lists this ribosomal RNA (720 nucleotides) under uncultured Bacilli bacterium. Its description in RNAcentral is "bacterial SSU rRNA". It matches the Rfam family "Bacterial small subunit ribosomal RNA", at positions 48 to 751 of the family's 1533-position model. Lineage: Bacteria; Bacillati; Bacillota; Bacilli. The record is from RNAcentral.
CUAAUACAUGCAAGUAGAACGCUGAAGCUUGGUGCUUGCACCGAGCGGAUGAGUUGCGAACGGGUGAGUAACGCGUAGGUAACCUGCCUGGUAGCGGGGGAUAACUAUUGGAAACGAUAGCUAAUACCGCAUAACAGUCGACAUUGCAUGAUGUUGAUUUGAAAGGGGCAAUUGCUCCACUACCAGAUGGACCUGCGUUGUAUUAGCUAGUUGGUGAGGUAACGGCUCACCAAGGCGACGAUACAUAGCCGACCUGAGAGGGUGAUCGGCCACACUGGGACUGAGACACGGCCCAGACUCCUACGGGAGGCAGCAGUAGGGAAUCUUCGGCAAUGGACGGAAGUCUGACCGAGCAACGCCGCGUGAGUGAAGAAGGUUUUCGGAUCGUAAAGCUCUGUUGUAAGAGAAGAACGAGUGUGAGAGUGGAAAGUUCACACUGUGACGGUAACUUACCAGAAAGGGACGGCUAACUACGUGCCAGCAGCCGCGGUAAUACGUAGGUCCCGAGCGUUAUCCGGAUUUAUUGGGCGUAAAGCGAGCGCAGGCGGUUAGAUAAGUCUGAAGUUAAAGGCUGUGGCUUAACCAUAGUACGCUUUGGAAACUGUUUAACUUGAGUGCAGAAGGGGAGAGUGGAAUUCCAUGUGUAGCGGUGAAAUGCGUAGAUAUAUGGAGGAACACCGGUGGCGAAAGCGGCUCUCUGGUCUGUAACUGACGCUGAGG